Molecule: ribosomal RNA, 446 nt
Filed under: uncultured bacterium
Lineage: Bacteria
Description: partial 16S ribosomal RNA
Rfam family: Bacterial small subunit ribosomal RNA
Source: RNAcentral
CCUACGGGAGGCAGCAGUCGAGAAUCAUUCACAAUGGGGGAAACCCUGAUGGUGCGACGCCGCGUGGGGGAAUGAAGGUCUUCGGAUUGUAAACCCCUGUCAUGUGGGAGCAAAUUAAAAAUAUAGUACCACAAUAUGAAGAGACGGCUAACUCUGUGCCAGCCGCCGCGGUAAUACAGAGGUCUCAAGCGUUGUUCGGAAUCACUGGGCGUAAUGCGUGCGUAGGCUGUUUGGUAAGUCGUGUGUGAAAGGCGCGGGCUCAACCCGCGUACGGCCCAUGAUACUGGGAGACUGGUGUAAUGGAGGGGGAAGCGGAAUUCUCGGUGUAGCAGUGAAAUGCGUAGAUAUCGAGAGGAACACUCGUGGCGAAGGCGAGUUCCUGGACAUUAACUGACGCUGAGGCACGAAGGCCAGGGGAGCGAAAGGGAUUAGAUACCCGUGUAGUC